GAGAAAACCAUUGUCAACUUAACCAAGCUUUUCUAUUCCUUUAAAUUGCAGAGAAUUCACUAUAAAAGAAAAUUAUGGUUAUUUGUAGUUUCUAAAUUUUAGGAAAUUGAAAAAGAUAAGGCACCCAUUGAAACGUGUCUAUUUCAACAAUUUGAACAAUUCUAAAAGAGAAAUUAUAUCAUGUAGAUAAGCAAUAAAUCAUAGGAAGAAGGAAUCUUA
Molecule: unclassified non-coding RNA, 219 nt
Filed under: Hevea brasiliensis (rubber tree)
Lineage: Eukaryota; Viridiplantae; Streptophyta; Magnoliopsida; Malpighiales; Euphorbiaceae
Source: RNAcentral